RNAcentral lists this ribosomal RNA (832 nucleotides) under Holascus sp. CCZ_078. Its description in RNAcentral is "partial large subunit ribosomal RNA". Lineage: Eukaryota; Metazoa; Porifera; Hexactinellida; Lyssacinosida; Euplectellidae. The record is from RNAcentral.
GGGAUCGGCUCAAGCUGAUAAUCUCUGGCUGCUGUGUGUGUGGUCAGCGAAUUGUAGUCUAGAAUGGUCACCUUGUGCACAGCUCGUUCUGGUAAAGUCCACUUGGAAUAGUGUGCCAGAGAGGGUGAGAGCCCCGUGUAACGUGUUGGGCCAGAUCUGAGCGUGUAAUCGGUGGCCGUUGAUGAGUCGGGUUGUUUGGGAUUGCAGCCCAAAGUGGGUGGUAGACUCCACUGAAAGCUAAAUAUACCCACGAGACCGAUAGUGAACAAGUACCGUGAGGGAAAGAUGAAAAGCACUUUGAAAAGAGGGUGAAAAGACCGUGAAACCGUUAGGAGGGAAACGAACAGGCUGACCGUUGCGUCGGCAAGAUUCAGGCAAGUUGUGCUGUUGGGUCUGGUAGCUGUUGGCUGGUCUGAGUGUUCUGAUCAUGUAGGAUGCAAGCCGAUGCUCCAGAGUAAACUCAGCCYUCUCUGCUGUACUUCAUGCUGUACGAAGCUAGUCACGUUCGUCUGUGUGCUGUGUGUGUUUACCCGCAUACAGUUGCACGAACCUGUGAUAGUUGGCUUGGUAAGGAAGGUGGCUGUUUUCGCCCAUCUCCGGAUUGGGUUUGGGUGUUGAACAGUGUUUAUAGCCAUGCCUUGUAGCAGCUGUCUAGACGAACGAGGCAAAAUGGCACCUGUAUGCUGGUGUCCUUGAUUCGAUCCGAUUCAUGGCAACAUGGGUCUGCCGCGCAAUGGUGGCCACCUCGUGCGUUUCUCGAUCUGACCUCGUAGAGGGCAGUUGAGCCAUGUGGGUGUCUUCACGAUUGUGUUGAGCUGGUGAUCGAUGUGUG